Molecule: long non-coding RNA, 263 nt
Filed under: Capsicum annuum
Lineage: Eukaryota; Viridiplantae; Streptophyta; Magnoliopsida; Solanales; Solanaceae
Description: long non-coding RNA (CANN_LNC018986)
Source: RNAcentral
GCAGGAGGAUCUGGAGCAUGUCCAAGGAUACUAGAUCAAGACAGAGAGGCAAAAUAGAGAAAGAAAGGCAAACAUGAACUACGGAAGGACUCUUGUCUCUGCCCUAGAUGCCCCCAUAGGCGAAAAAACAACUCAAAUAAGUGGAACUCCCAAAUAGCCUAUGUCACUAACCUAAUCACCUCCCCAGGUGUGGUCACACGCUAAAAAUAGGCCAAGUUGGCCUGGUUCGACCGAGGCCAACCAAGUCGUAACACAAAACCCUC